Long non-coding RNA from Topomyia yanbarensis, 4029 nucleotides. RefSeq lists it as uncharacterized. NCBI's taxonomy places the organism in Eukaryota, Metazoa, Arthropoda, Insecta, Diptera, Culicidae. The transcript is spliced from 5 exons. The record is from RefSeq and is a predicted model, not a curated record.
GGCAGUCCGGAAAAAGAGGAUGCGGAAAAACCUAGUCCAUCGGCAGUAGAACCAGCGACGGUUACUCCCGUAGAAACGGCUGCACCUGCAGUUUUGAGUUCGUUAAUUAUGGAAAUUUUGACUGGCUGCUCCUGAAGAAAGACAAGCUGCUAGUGGAAAUAGAAAAACAGCUUCCUACACGGAAGAUGCAGAUGCAUUCAACCCGGAGGAUGCAAAAAAACUUUCGAAGCUUUGCACAUGAAGCCGGAACUGCUUCAGGGAGUCUAUGCUAUGGAUUCCAACGCCCCUUCCAAGAUUCAGGAAACGGCUCUACCUACUCUGUUGGCCGAUCCGCCCAGCACAUGAUCGCCCAGUCAGUCAGAAACAAGAAAAACCGCUGCUUUUGCGCUGACAAUGCUCAGUCGAGUCGAUCCGUUAAAAAAACUAUCCGCAGGUGAUUUGCCUUUCCCUUACGUAUGAACUGGCAAAUCAGAAGGGGGUAGCAGCUGCCAAAAUUACAAAGUUAUGUCCGCAAAUCAAAUUUAGUUACCUCAUCCGCGGCGAGGAGAUUGUCAAAGGGGCGAAGCUGAUUAAUCAUAUCAUCAUCGAAACACCCGGUAAGCUGAUGGACUGGAAUAUAAAAUUCAGGCGUUCGACCUUGAGAAAUUGCCGUUUGUGUACUAAACGAAGCGGGCGUUAUGAUCGCUGUUCUUGGCCACGUACGAGCGGGAGGUAAUGGAGUUCGCCGAGUACAUCUUACCCGAUCCGAUCGUGAUUCAGCUAGCGCGGGAGCAAGAAUCACUAGAUAACAUCAAACAGCACUACAAUAAGUACCGCAACCAGGACGAGAAAUAUCAAGCAAUUUCGAUCAUCUUUGGCGUGAUUACCAUCGGAUAUGCGAUCAUUUUCUGUCGUGUGAGUAUAGGACAGUUGUGAUUGGCAUUGUUAAUCGAUGGAAACAGACACGCAAAACGGCCGAUAGGAUGGUCAUUCGGUAGCGGUACUGUCCGGUGAUUUAACGGUGGAGCAAUGGUUUGCCGGUCUGAAUCGAUUCCGAGCCGGACUAAAGAAGGUAUUGAUUACAACGAACGUUUUGUCUUGGGGUAUCGAUGUCGAACAGGUGACCAUUGUAAACUUCAUCCUGUCGAUGGAUCAGUAGAGACGAGCCGAUUGCGAAACGUAUCUGCAUCGAAUUGGACGCACCGGUAAAUUCUGCAUCGCCAUCAACCUGGUGGGCAGUGAUCGAAGCAUGAUGAUUUGCAGAUCAUUCGAAAAACACUUCCAGAAAAAGAUUCAGCUGCUAGACGCGGAGUACUCGGACGUUAUUGAAAAGAUCGGAUCGUAGUGUUUUCGACCAGCUACUGGUGAAAGGCGCUGGAGCUUUUUUGGUUCAUUAUUGUUCCGAUUGUGAAUCUAUAACUUUAUUUAGCUCUAUCAGUUGAUUUCCUUAGGAUUUAAUUCAAGGAUCGGUAACGCGAGGAUUGUGAAGUGCAUGUUUAAUUGUUAUAACUUGGAGUUAAGUGAACCACAGAUAACAGACGUUUAAGCUCGAUUUGAAUCGUGUAUAAAAACCCGCUACUGAAAUUCCGAAUAAAUUAGACGUCUGAAACACGUUUGGCAAACGUUUGCAGAUGACGCAGUGAUCAAUACAAUGCAGUUAGAGUGCAGCUGUUAAACACGUGUAGCAAACAGUUGCGCAGAUGGCAAUAGUGAAACACGGAUUUCCAACGUUUAUCAAUUUGAAAGUUUACACAGGUUUUUGAAGAAAUUUUGUUCUAGCCUAAACGUCUGUUAUCUGUGGGUAAACUCUUGAAGAAAACGACUUUGUUUUUUUUAUUUUGUCGUUGGACGGCCAGUAGAGUAAAGUGGCAAGAAUUUUUCCAAAACACCUUGAAGAAGAAGAUGAAAAAUAUUUUGUUCAAUACCAUGUAAAUAAAUAUUUCAAGAAGAUAGAACAGACAGCUAUAAAACAGCAAAAAAAUCUAAAAGAAAUUAUAUAUGCUUCGAAGCGAUUUUCAUCGUUGGCGCCGUUUCCGUCGUCGUCAUCCUCAGCAAGUUGUUCCUUCUUAACAUCGAGUUCCACCAAUUGCGAUAGAUCGUCCUGUGUCAUCUCCUUUUGAUAGCCCAAGAACGAAUCACUCUUAUCCUGUUCCUGCUCAUGCUCCUUUCCACGAUCCUCGAGUGUAUCGAAACGACCGGCGAUGACAACAAACACUUUACACUUGGUGCACUUCCAUGCAAUUCGCCCUCGCUGAUCAACCGAUACGAUGGGUACCGGUAGCAACUGUGCACGACAAACAGCUGACCCCGCUUGCCCGGAAUCAGUUUGUAAGCAAUCUGUUCGGCUUGUUUUUGCGUCCAACAUCUAACCUUCAAUGAUGGUUUUAUUUUCGCAGUCGUCCUGCGUGAAAAAAUUCAACCCUAAUUAUUUUUCUCACGUGUAAAUUUAAAACGACUUACCCCUCAGGCGCAUGGUUAUGUGCCCAUUUGCUAUUUAUUUAGUUAUUCAUUUACUAAUUUGUAUAUUUUUACAUUUGUUCUUUCAUUGUUGUGGGUGAAUGGAGAACAGUGAGUCUAGUUAUGUAAGGAAUGCAAACUAGGCUCGAUGGAACCUUGCCAGUCCUGGAUAUCACACACAUUUGGAGCAACAUCAGAUGUUUUUCAAGCCGUUCUCAACUCCUAUACGGCAGUUUUCACGCCGCCACCCGCGUAACGGCUUGAUAGUUGAUAUUCGAGCUUGUAGAACCAUUUGGGCGUACCAUAUAUGAGCUCCGACGGAAAUUGAGGAUGAAAUAGAUCUCUUCUAUGAGACAGUCGUCCGACGGUGUCGAAAUGCCGUAAGAGAUGAGCAGCGGUAAACUAGUUAUUCAAGAUGGGAAUGAGACACUUAAUUACCACCAUUGAAAUGAAAUCUGUAAGUAGCACUAACAAACAUCUAAUUUCAGGAACUGCACGAGAUGCUGGGCCUGUGACCUUCGACUGGUAUGGUCCAUUCUCAUUGGUUGUCGAUUCUUUUGACCUUGAGUAUGAGGCUUGUUCAGGGAAGGAGUGCAUGAAUGGCACCUAAGGGAUACUUAAUUAUUCAGGACUUGUUCUUAUGAUUAUUUAACUCGAUCAAGCACACCGGCUCUCAGAAAUGAUAAGCAGCCCUUUCGGGUCGGUGUGGUCUGUUCGAGUCGAACCAGGUGGAUAUUCGGUUCGAGCAUACUUUAUUGGGACUAGUGGACAAAUAUUUCUUGUCCUUUAUGGGCAGAGAUUCUUUUUGUGAAACCCUAAAAUACCUUAUCUCGUCUAGCUACUCAGCAUAAUGAUAAUAGAAAAAAUUGAGGAUUUGCCUGGUCCAUAAUGUAAUGAAUACGUAUACGUAUAUUGACUAGAACAGGGAUAAUCGAAUUCUGUUAUAAGAUAGAGAUGAAAUAGCACAGUUGUAGGAAAAAGUAUUCGCGAAUAAGGACUAAUACUGCUAGUAUAUUUACCGAUUCAAAUAAUAGUCGAUUGAUCCGCUUCGGACCUAGGAGACAAAAAGGAGAUUAGGAAGAGACAGAAUCGGAUUCAAUGUGAAAUUUGCCAAUAUGACGUAGACCCCAAGGCGAUGGUGAGAUGAUUUUCCAUAGGAUUACAGAGACUAGAUGACGCGACGUUAACCGCUUUCAACUUGUGUCUGUAUGAAUCUAAGUUUGUAUGUAUGGAUGUGUAUAGGAGCAAUGUAUCCCUGAGCAACAUGGAAGGACAGCCUCUGAGCCGCCAAAAGGGUCAUGGGAAACCGGGUGCGCGGUCAUAGGUGUAACCAUAAAGCACUGCACACACUGUCAAGUGCAACGGUAGGUGUACGCAGUUAAUGCACAUAGGUUGCAGAAACUGGUUGUUGAGACAGCCUGUGCAAUCGCAUCCUGAUAAAUAAUAAAUAACAAUAACAAUUUAUGUGUUCCUUCAUUAUUUUUUUUAUUUCUGGGAAAAAUUUUCAUUAUGUCGUAACUAACAAUGCUAUUCAUUUUGUUUCCUUGAUGCGAAUAUGUAAUAUAAUAUAUUCUGGUUGCAGUUGAAAAUCGA